This 64-nucleotide transfer RNA is filed under the name Methylobacterium brachythecii. RNAcentral's name for it is "tRNA-Ser". The record is from RNAcentral. Lineage: Bacteria; Pseudomonadati; Pseudomonadota; Alphaproteobacteria; Hyphomicrobiales; Methylobacteriaceae.
GAGAUAGGGGCGAAAAGGACUUUUAAUCUGUAGGUCCUGGGUUCGAGUCCCAGCGCGCUCACCA